Molecule: ribosomal RNA, 253 nt
Filed under: uncultured bacterium
Lineage: Bacteria
Description: partial 16S ribosomal RNA
Rfam family: Bacterial small subunit ribosomal RNA
Source: RNAcentral
UACGUAGGGUGCGAGCGUUGUCCGGAAUUAUUGGGCGUAAAGAGCUCGUAGGCGGUUUGUUGCGUCUAUCGUGAAAACCUGCAGCUUAACUGUGGGCUUGCGGUGGAUACGGGCAGACUUGAGUUCGGUAGGGGAGACUGGAAUUCCUGGUGUAGCGGUGAAAUGCGCAGAUAUCAGGAGGAACACCGGUGGCGAAGGCGGGUCUCUGGGCCGAUAUUGACGCUGAGGAGCGAAAGCGUGGGGAGCGAACAGG